Molecule: ribosomal RNA, 497 nt
Filed under: uncultured bacterium
Lineage: Bacteria
Description: partial 16S ribosomal RNA
Rfam family: Bacterial small subunit ribosomal RNA
Source: RNAcentral
GAUGAACGCUGGCGGCGUGCCUAAUACAUGCAAGUCGAGCGAACAGACGAGGAGCUUGCUCCUCUGACGUUAGCGGCGGACGGGUGAGUAACACGUGGAUAACCUACCUAUAAGACUGGUAUAACUUCGGGAAACCGGAGCUAAUACCGGAUAAUAUAUUGAACCGCAUGGUUCAAUAGUGAAAGACGGUUUUGCUGUCACUUAUAGAUGGAUCCGCGCCGCAUUAGCUAGUUGGUAAGGUAACGGCUUACCAAGGCGACGAUGCGUAGCCGACCUGAGAGGGUGAUCGGCCACACUGGAACUGGGACACGGUCCAGAGUCCUACGGGAGGCAGCAGUAGGGAAUCUUCCGCAGUGGGCGAGAGCCUGACGGAGCAACGCCGCGUGAGUGAUGAAGGUCUUCGGAUCGUAAAACCCUGUUAUUAGGGAAGAACAAAUGUGUAAGUAACUAUGCACGGCUUGACGGUACCUAAUCAGAAAGCCACGGCUAACUACGUG